RNAcentral lists this unclassified non-coding RNA (268 nucleotides) under uncultured fungus. RNAcentral describes it as "partial contains 5.8S ribosomal RNA, internal transcribed spacer 2, and large subunit ribosomal RNA". The stretch from base 1 to 52 matches the Rfam family "5.8S ribosomal RNA", at positions 103 to 154 of the family's 154-position model. The record is from RNAcentral. Lineage: Eukaryota; Fungi.
AACGCACAUUGCGCCCGCCAGUAUUCUGGCGGGCAUGCCUGUUCGAGCGUCAUUUCAACCCUCAAGCCCCCAGGGCCUUGGUGUUGGGGACCGGCGACACCCCCCUUGGGUCCGCCGCCCCCGAAAUGAAUUGGCGGUCACGUCGCGGCGUCCUCUGCGUAGUAGCACAACCUCGCAACGGGAGCGCGGCGCGGCCACUGCCGUAAAACGCCCAACUUUUUUUUUUAGAGUUGACCUCGAAUCAGGUAGGAAUACCCGCUGAACUUAA